Molecule: ribosomal RNA, 253 nt
Filed under: uncultured bacterium
Lineage: Bacteria
Description: partial 16S ribosomal RNA
Rfam family: Bacterial small subunit ribosomal RNA
Source: RNAcentral
UACGUAGGGGGCUAGCGUUGUCCGGAAUCAUUGGGCGUAAAGAGCGUGUAGGCGGCUUGGUAAGUCCGCUGUGAAAGUCCAGGGCUCAACCCUGGAAUGCCAGUGGAUACUGUCAAGCUAGAGUCCGGAAGAGGCGAGUGGAAUUCCUGGUGUAGCGGUGAAAUGCGCAGAUAUCAGGAGGAACACCGGUGGCGAAGGCGGGUCGCUGGCUCGAUACUGACGCUGAGGUGCGAAAGCGUGGGUAGCAAACAGG